Molecule: non-coding RNA, 88 nt
Filed under: Cupriavidus alkaliphilus
Lineage: Bacteria; Pseudomonadati; Pseudomonadota; Betaproteobacteria; Burkholderiales; Burkholderiaceae
Description: sRNA-Xcc1
Rfam family: sRNA-Xcc1
Source: RNAcentral
GGCCGGGCAACGCGCAGUCAUAAAAGACCCGCAAGGGGAAAGCUGCGGGCCGUCUGUGAGCGGUGUUCAAGUGCCUGGCCCCCCAAUG